CUGUGGCAUGACUUUACGCGGGCUCUCGUGAUAUUUGCUCCCACUGUGACGUUGAAGCAGCCGCGUAACUCUAAUGGGAAAAAGCCCAGCUUGACAUAACUACUGUACAGAAAUCUACAAAAAGGAAAUGGAUGGCAUUCCCGGGGAAUACUCUACGGUCAGAGAAACAGAGAGACUUCUGCACUGCACCAGAGAGAGAGAGAGAGAGAGAGACAGAGAGCAAUAAAUAGGAUCAGCACUGCAAGUGCUACGACCAGCGCAACAUUUCAUCGAACCAACUAUUAAAGCAUGCUGAUGAUUACAACCACACUGCAAAAUCCGAUAAUUACCAGAAUACCGCUGCUUUUAAUGCCAAAGCAUUUAUUCCUGAUAUGAAAUAGAGACCUUAGUUUUGAGCUUAAUUUUAAUAUGUAAUUAUUAACUAUAUUAAUCUGGAUAUACAACAUUUAUAAAGCAUAACUUUUUAUUUUAUUCAAUUAUAAAU
This is a long non-coding RNA of Carassius gibelio (silver crucian carp), 484 nucleotides long. RefSeq lists it as uncharacterized. The record is from RefSeq and is a predicted model, not a curated record. NCBI's taxonomy places the organism in Eukaryota, Metazoa, Chordata, Actinopteri, Cypriniformes, Cyprinidae. The transcript is spliced from 3 exons.